Long non-coding RNA from Motacilla alba alba, 966 nucleotides. RefSeq lists it as uncharacterized. Lineage: Eukaryota; Metazoa; Chordata; Aves; Passeriformes; Motacillidae. The transcript is spliced from 3 exons. The record is from RefSeq and is a predicted model, not a curated record.
AAGAAAAAAGAAAAAGAGGUUUUGCAAUUUGGACAUUAAAAAAAAAGAAGAAAAAGCAGGGUGGGUGGCUGCUUUCAGGAAUCAGUUUCAUUUUAAAACCCUCUGCACUGAAAAAGUGAUAAACACAAAGAUUAAUAGCCAGAACACAAAGUAGGUUUUUUUUUCAAGUCAGAUUACAUUCUUUUAGUUAUCCCAGUGUCAACUGUUUGGGGAUCUUCUGUGGCUUUUAAUUUGAAAAGUUUCUCUUUUGGCUUGGUAAGAACUCAUUUUCCCCAAGGUUCAUUAAUUUGAGGACCUAUCUGUGUAUUUGCCAGACUCUACUCCAAACACGGCUCUCCAAGGUGAAGGUUUCUGUCCAGGAAGGUAAGACCCAGACUCAUUUUAACAAACUGGACUAUUCCAGCAUUCGGAGAUGAGCACAUGCCUAAGCACUUUGCUGGUUGACACCAUGGAGCUUUUCAGCUUUCAGGAUCAGUGCUGUGCCCCUCAGAACCACUCCCUUGCUUGAGAUCAUAACAGGAGAGACUGAAGAUUUUUCUGAGAUUAACAUACCAAAUGCCCUGUGAUUCAGCCCACCAAGUUCACAUUGCAAGUCCAACCCUAAAAUCCAGAAUGGGGCCAGGAGAGAAUCGCUGGCUUCACAGAACUCCGUGUCAUCACUAAAAUAUUCUACGUAUUGCACCCUGCUGACACAGUGAGGGUGAAUGGCCCGAAAGGGUUAAUCAGGAUGUCAAAAGCUGCAGAUGACAAAGGCCUGUCCUGCCCCAAGAGACCCCCGUGGGCGCAGAGUGCACCCCAGGCUGUGCUGGUGGAAGGUGGUGUCCUCAUUCUCCUGGCAGCAUCUCAGGCUUGUAUGAAAUUAGCCAGAGCAUUUCUGCUCCAUGUUACUCAUGUAGCUGAAUUAAUCUUUCUUAAGCAAAGUUGUUAGUUUAAUUCCUUCCAGACUCUCAGGAUCGCAAAUGCAAU